Long non-coding RNA from Triticum aestivum (bread wheat), 3919 nucleotides. RefSeq lists it as uncharacterized. The transcript has 5 exons. The record is from RefSeq and is a predicted model, not a curated record. NCBI's taxonomy places the organism in Eukaryota, Viridiplantae, Streptophyta, Magnoliopsida, Poales, Poaceae.
GUGAGUCCACCGUGUGAAAAGUCAGAGAGUGAUGAGUCUCCUUGCUGACACAAAUCGUGGCCUCGCCGCCGCCAAUGUCUCCGCUCCGGCGACGCCAUCUUCGCCGGGCGAAGCCCACGCCCACGCCCACCCUCAAGCGGAAGCGGGCCGCGCCGGCCGUCGCCCAAGACCCCGACCAAGGCCGAGCCCACGCGGCAGAGGCGGAGGACUGCCGCGUGUGCUCCGGCGCCGGCGGCGGGUCAUGGUGGAGUGCCUCGGUGGGUUCCACCUGCGGUGCGUGCGCCCGCUGCUGCAGCGUGUGCCGGAGGGGGACUGCGAGGCCGAGCGUGAUGUCUCCGGCCCAAGCCUGAAGCCGCCCGUGGGGGAAGAGAUCUCUAUUUCAUGGCCGUCGUGAUGAUGGCAAGAAAAUUGGAAAGCAAGCAAACCAGCCAAUUGUUUUGCUCAUCAACGACCUUGACCUCCUUUUGACAAGAAAUCAGUCGGUCCUGUAUAACAUUCUUGAUUGGCCCAUCAAGCCAAAUUCAAACCUAGUUACCAUAGGUACCUAUCAAAGAUUAAAAUCGCAGGCGAAACUACAGCUUCUUCGCCGAAAACCGGCGGCGGUGACCAAGGAUCCGGCAAGCUGGAGAUAGUGACGGGCGAGGCUGCAAGGUGACGUGACGAGCGAGAAGUCCACGAUGUCAUCUCCAACUCCCAGUACGCCUGCAGAUACAGGCAAGCCCUCUGUGUUGAACUGGUGCAGACCUUAAUGGACGUGGUGUUGUGGAAUUGGUGAUGCUUCUUUUUGUUGAACUGUGACGAUGUGACCUUUGCCGUAGCUCAAGGAGUCCCCACAUCUUCCUUGGCAGUCCAAGUCCAAGUACCUCUAAAUCUCAUACCUGCAGUGCAGUGGCCAAAUGUCCAAGCACCCAAGCCCUGUCUACAUGUAUGUAUAGUAAGUUCACUUCCUCUGUUUCUGUUUCCCACCUUAUACUCAAGUUUGCCGUUGUGGCCAUAUUGUUCCGUUUCCAGUGAUGAGCGUUAUAUUGGGAAACUAAGAAGCUCCAGACAAGGCAAACACAACACACUAGAAAAUUCCGAGAAUGCGGCAAACACCAACAUGCAAGAAAAUUCUGAGACAACUAGUUCAUCGCCACCGUCGCCGGAUUACCCAUGUUGAUGUGUGUAUCCUAACUACGUAUAGGCUGGAUGCGUGAUCAUUGGUUUUGUAACCCCUCAUAGUCAUUUAUAAAGGUUGUUGAUGUUUUUUUUUUGAAGGGAAAAUCACUUGGCACUUUAUUGCGAGUUUAGGAGUAUAGCAUCCUGUAGUACAUGCGGGAUCAGGAAGCUAGCGGGAUCAUCGGCCCAAUUAUACAUCAAAUUUGAAUCACACGCAUGUCUAGCUAAGAAAUGUGCCAAGCCAUUAGCUUCCCUUGGGCAGUGCUGAAAACAGAUUGAAUUUCCUCUUCGCCGUUUGUUAAACCUUAGGCAACUGUAUAUUUCCUAAUAGAGCUGGUACAUCGGAGAGAUCAUGCUGGCCCAGGUUCAUUUUUUUCCGCUGGAAAGGAGGUUGGGUGAUAGCAAGUAGAAUGGUGGGCUCGCCCCCUUCCGCUCCUAAAUAGGCCAAGCCUGACAACACAACAGAGUUUUUCUAUUUUUUAUUUCCUUUUCUUAUAUAUCUAUAAUUCAAAAUUGGCUAAAUCCAUAUGCAUUUUGAAAAAAAUGUUAAAAUAUUACAUAACCUGGUUCAAAUAAAGUUGCAAAAAAUAAAUCAAUGUAAGUUCGUAAAAUGUGUUCUGGUAUUUUAGAAAAUGUUCAUUAAAUUUAGAAACAUAGUGUUUACAAUUCUUUUCUCUAAAUGUUCAUGUGAUUUAAAAAAAUGUUCAUGUAUAUAUUUUUUUAAAAGGUCAUGUAAUUUAGAAAAUAUUCACACAUUAUCAAAUAAUGUUAACUCUAUUAUAUAUUUCAAAUUAUAUUCAUGCAUUAUUAAAUAAUGUUCACUUAAUUAAAAGCCAUUUCAAAAAAAUUAUCAUCAUUUAUUUAAAAUAAAUGAUGUGUGUAGUCCCAGCCUGUGCAUCGUUUAGCUUCAACAAGGCAUUAGCUUCAGUCUAGUUUGACUUUAGUAGUUGCCGGUGUGAUUUCGCAUGUGGAUGCUGGUGUUGCUGUGUGUAUCCUGACUACUAAUUUCUCCUAACUUACACAUACCUUUCGUAGAAAUCCUUCUUUUGUUAACUUGUAUAGUUAUUCUCUGCAUGGUUCUUUGCUAUAGUAUGUUCAUCAAACAAGAAUAUAUAUCAUUCAUACCAAUCCAGGAUCUUGUUGUACGACACUUCAAAAAGUUUCCUUUCCACAAAUUAAAAACAGAAUAUUUCAGAUGCAAUAAUGUGUACUGUAUUGCAAAUUCUUGUGCAGAAACAAAUAUGGCAUAUAGCUAAUGAAGAAUAGAAAAAAAAAUCAUCACCCCAAAAAAAUUUACAAGGGGCCCUCCAGAUAGGGUGAUCGUGCCCACCAAGAAUAGGGCUGCCAGGUUGGCGAGGAGCACCACUAGGAUCCACCAGAGCACGCCGGAUCUCCCUUCCAGUCGACGCCUAGAGAAGUAUCACAGAAGGUAGAAGGUUCCAGCCGUUUUGGCGGGCAUUGUGUUGCAUGCGAGAAGAGUAACUAGUUAGGUAAUAUCUCCAAGAGAUCCAAGGUGGUGUGAACUAUGAAGAAGAAAGGAAUGUGUGAACAUUGAACUUUGGAGGAGCUCGAUGUUGUGGAGAGGCCCAACGAUACAACUCGCUCUACCUGGUGAACGAGGUAGCAAUUAAUAUAGGUGUAUGUAUGUGGCGUGGUGGGGGGCAUAUGCCCUCCUGGCCCAUAUGUAGCGGAUAUGAAAAUUCUCACAUAGUGGGGCAUUGCGCUCAUGGGAUGGAGUAGAUAUGGCUUCUAACAAUGUGACCUCCUUCAACACCUCGAAUCUUGUGGAGAACACAUCAAAAUCACGCCCUUGAGACAAGGCAAGCACGCGGCAAACCCACACAAGAAGCCUAGGCGUUGCUUGCAAGGCCACGCCAUGCAUGUCUUGGAUGAUAGGACAUGCCGAAGAUAGGAGAAUGCAUGCGGAUCUAGAGACAGAAGAAGUGUACGCUCUCAUGAAGCUGCAGCCGUUGAACCUAGAGCAGAUCUUCCACGAACCGCUCGCUGAGAUGGGCAUCGUGAACAAGCCAGUGAAUUACUAUUGGAAGACGAUGACGAAUAGCGAUGUCAAUACUAGCCGGGGGUGGUCUGUGCCCCGCGAUGUAGCUGAGCGCUUGUUCCCGCCUCUGGUAUAACCUUCUCCACUUCUCACCCUCUCUGUGACCUUUUGAUGUUACUAGUAAGAUUUAUUUUGUGUCAGGAUUUCACACAGACACAGCAGCAGGACCUAUUUGUGUGCGACAUUCAUGAUGUUCAAGCACUGGUGCCGAGGCAGGUUUCAACAACAUGCCUCCAUUCUUUGUGUUUUUUACAUUGGCCUAAUGAGGUUUGCGUUUUUUUUACCAAAAUGGCACCGUUGUUCGCUCAAAUUACAAAGAAAAUACCCCUCCCAGGUCCCAGCCCGCGUCACCCCAUUCUUUCUGUUUCUUACAUUGGCCUAAUGAGGUUUGCGUUUACAUCAUUUACUGAACAAUAUACCAUAGUAAGUUUCAGAGUACACAAGACCACAUGGACAUAACGCAGAGACCAUGAACAUCACUCCUAGUAGUAUUUGACAGCAACCAAAUGAGCAUCUAAACAUCAAAACUCAGGUCCUUUCUUGGUCUCCAAGUCCUUUUUGUAUGCUGCCAGGUUGAAAAUUGUUUGAGAAAUUCUUGUUGAUCAAGAGAAAGUUAGAAUUAUUCAGAUAUGUUCACUACAGAAGUUGACCUUUUACUUUAUACUUGAAUUCGGAUCACAACAUAACAAAGUAUAGGUUUUA